AUUACGGACUUUAUCUAGUCUAGAAUGGUCACAAAUUUGGUGAUGAUUUUCCUCCACAAAAGAAGGGGAAAAUGGACUUUUAUGCUCACAUGACAGAGCAGCAAACAUACCGAACAUGGUAUUUCAAAACUCGUCAUUGCCAAGCAGAAAAAAAUUACUGAACCAAUCACAUUCCGAUGUCUAUAUCAAAAUAACGUUAACUCACAAAAACACAGCAAAUUUAUAACUUAAUAUUCAGCACUCUGAGUGUUAAGCCAAUAUUUUAUUGUGUUUAAAACAUAUAACUUAAGCUCCUCGAAUAGGGAAUUUAACCACUGGACAAUUAUCCAUUAAAUAUGCUAACGCCCGCUUCUUUCUUCACCAAAAGCCUCAUUUCAUAGAAGAGGAAGUAAAAUAAUUAGAACCGACCUAUAUAACUACCCUCUUAAACUUCAUAUCCAGGACCCUAGUCCUAUAUAAAUGCAAGAAAAUAUUUUAUUACUCUAAAAACAAAUAUACAGAUACAAAAAAACAAGUGUAUUAUAGUCAUUAGAUCUAUGAAAUCAUAGACUUGGAUACUGAAUAAAUUUUAAAUUUGUCAAACCAUAUGUUCCUGAACAAACCUUGGAAAAAAAUGAUCCACAGAG
RNAcentral lists this unclassified non-coding RNA (626 nucleotides) under Hevea brasiliensis (rubber tree). The record is from RNAcentral. Lineage: Eukaryota; Viridiplantae; Streptophyta; Magnoliopsida; Malpighiales; Euphorbiaceae.